RNAcentral lists this ribosomal RNA (464 nucleotides) under uncultured bacterium. RNAcentral's name for it is "partial 16S ribosomal RNA". It matches the Rfam family "Bacterial small subunit ribosomal RNA", at positions 28 to 506 of the family's 1533-position model. The record is from RNAcentral.
GACGAACGCUGGCGGCGUGCUUAACACAUGCAAGUCGAACGGAAAGGCCCCCUUGUGGGGUACUCGAGUGGCGAACGGGUGAGUAACACGUGAGUAACCUACCCUUGACUUUGGGAUAACUUCAGGAAACUGGGGCUAAUACCGGAUAGGAGCUCCUGCUGCAUGGUGGGGGUUGGAAAGUUUCGGCGGUUGGGGAUGGACUCGCGGCUUAUCAGCUUGUUGGUGGGGUAGUGGCUCACCAAGGCUUUGACGGGUAGCCGGCCUGAGAGGGUGACCGGCCACAUUGGGACUGAGAUACGGCCCAGACUCCUACGGGAGGCAGCAGUGGGGAAUAUUGCACAAUGGGCGGAAGCCUGAUGCAGCAACGCCGCGUGCGGGAUGACGGCCUUCGGGUUGUAAACCGCUUUCGCCUGUGACGAAGCGUGAGUGACGGUAAUGGGUAAAGAAGCACCGGCUAACUACGG